AAUGAUAUUUGUGCAACCACACAUGGAUCCAUGCCAACUUUUGCUGCAAUCUGUGCAACAAAAACAAAGCAGACUAAUAAAGCACAAAACAUAGUAACAUCAAGCGUACAUAGUCUUGUCACAUAGAAAAUGCAGUAGGGAAAAUAUGUUCAAUAUACUAAAGAAAAAACAGAAAAAGAUGAAAACUAUUUUCUGCCAUCUGAAUCUUCUUUCUUCGUCCAAAUAGCAGUGUAUAAGAAUUGUAGCAUUGAAUUAUGUGCAGAAUCUACGUCAGGUCCUUGACAAAUAAACCUGCACAUCAUUAGAACAACAAAUUUGUGAGAAAAACACUGAACAAAUCUUCUGUUUUGUAUCUGUGCAACCUAUUUACUGCAAACUGUGCAACAUACAUAACCACUCUGUGCAAAAGAAGUGCCAGAAAAUAUUGUAAACGGAUUGUGGAAAUUAGUAAGUUAAAAGAAGUAAAAAAAAGGUGUGUCAAAUACAUUGUGAAACUAGUGUGCAACUACUUAGGGUUCUGCAUUGCAAAACAUCUUGUUUGUAACACAUUUUGAGAAUACAGAAAAAAUAACUUGUGACUAUCCUGUUUGUUCUCUAGAAAAGGUAGAGGUGAUUAAUUAUCAUUACAUACAAAUAUUUGUUCUCUGGAAAACUAGAUUAAAAAGUUGAGUAUGGCAAUUUGAUAUCCUGUUUGUUCUGCAACUAAAAAUGCUGGUGAUGACAACUAAUGAGAUAUUCUGGUGCGACUAGAAAUGCUGAUGAUGCCAACUAAUCAGAUAUUCUUGUGCGACUAGAAAUGCUGAUGAUGCCAACUAAUGAGAUAUUCUUGUGCAACUAGAGAGGUUGAAGAUGUCACAACUACUACUUGGAUAAUGUUGUCCAACUAAAAUUGCAAAGGGUGCCAACUAAAUAGAUACUCUUCUACAACUAGAAAGCCUGAGGGUGCCAAGUCAUUAGAUACUAUUGGGCAAUCCUCAAAAAAAUUAAGAUGGGAUUAAUCUGAAUUCUUGUGCAACUAGAGAGGCUGAAGAUGUCAACUACUUGGAUAAUGUUGUCCAAUAAGAAUUGCAGAGGGUGCCAACUAAAUAGAUACUCUUCUGCAACUAGAAAACAUGAGGGUGCCAAGUCGUUAGAUACUGUUGGGCAAUCCUCAAUUUUUUUUAGAUGGGACUAAUCUGAGUUCUUGUGCAACUAGAGAAGCUGAGGAUGUCAACUAGUUGUAUAUUGUUGUGCAACUACAAUUACCGAGGUUGCCAACUAAUUAGAUACUAUUCUGCAACUAGAAAGUCUGAGGAUGCCAUGUCGUUACAUACUCUUGGGCAAUCCUCAAUUUUUUUAAGAUGAGACUAAUCUGAGUUCUUGUGCAACUAGAGAAGCUGAGGAUGUCAACUAGUUGUAUAUUGUUGUGCAACUAGAAUUACUGAGGUUGCCAACUAAUUAGAUACUAUUCUACAACUAGAAAGCCUGAGGAUGCCAAGUCGUUACAUACUCUUGGGACAAUUCUAAAAAACUUGAAGAUGGCAACGUUGAGCAACUGAGAAAGUUGAGCAUGCCAAUGCUUAUUUAGUCCUUCUGCAACUAUGUAUGAAAAUUAAUACACUUGGCUGACUGUAUGUGGAGUAAAAAAUCACCGAGAAAAAAGGGAUUGGAGGAGGUAGUGGAAGUGCUACUCCGACUCCACGACCAAGGACUCCCUUGGCGACCUACUAACCCAGCCACAAUGGAUCUUGUAGUCAGACCUUGACCACCUCUGCAGGCGUGUUGUAGACACCUGCUCACCAACUACCCCUACCAAUAGGAUGUGCGACUUCGGCGGCUGGUUGUCGAUGUGAAACUAUGAAAGCAUGGUUGUGCGAUUUUGCGUGGCUUCCUAACGACCACAGCGGUCCAGCUCCAUCACUGAGAAAAAAAGGGAUUGGAGGAGGUAGUGGAGGUGCUACUCUGACUCCACGACCAAGGACUCACCUGGCGACCUACUAACCCUGCCACAAUCGAUCUGGCAGUCAGACCUUGACCGCCGUUGUAGGCGUGCUGUCGACACCCGCUCACCAACUACCCCUACCAGUAGGAUGUGCAGCUUCGGCGGCUGCCCUGACCAAUUGUCUGGUUGUCGAUGUGCAACUACGAAAGCAUGGUUGUGCGACUUUGCGUGGCUUCCUAACGACCAUAACGGUCCAGCUCCAUCACCGGAAAAAAGGAAUUGGAGGAGGUAGUGGAGGUGCUACUCCGACUCCACGACCAAGGACUCCCCUGGUAACCUACUAACCCAGCCACAAUGGAUCUAGCAGUCAGACCUUGACCACCGCUGUAGGCGUGUUGUGGACACCUGCUCACAAACUACCCCUACGAGUAGGAUGUGCAACUUCGGCGGCUGCCCUGACCAACUACUUGGCAGUCAAUGUGCUACUAUGUAUGCUUAGGUGUGCAACUAUGUACUGCUUUCUAUGAAGCUUGUAAUUCCUCUCUGUGCAACUAUAUAUAACAAGUGUGCAAACUAUUCUAACUUGCAUAUCUUUCGAUUAGAAAAGAGAGGAAACGGACAAAAUUGAGCUCUACUGAGUAGCAGUUCCAACGAGCGGUAUCGUAAUGAUAAAUGCAGUCUAAGCAAUAAAUAGAUGGAUCAAGUUGCAUCGACUACAGAUCCAUGGUGUUUUGAAAAGUAGGAUCCUAAAUUCAUACCAUUAGUGACAAAAAAAUCUUUAGAACUUCAAUUAUUUUCAUUGAUUCAACUAGAUGUAAUGAGCACCAACCAAAACCAAGAGGAACUAGUAACUAUACCAAGUAGUCUUGAGUAAUUCUUACUUACAAGAACUAGAAAUUCCUUUGAUUCAACCCAACCAAACACAUCUCAUAAUUCAACAAGCGCAGGAAGCCAUUGGUACUCAAGGGACCAACUAAUCAGGGAAACCCCUGAUCCCAUCAAAGUCAAUUAGCCUCAGCGUUGAAGUCAUACCUGGCAGCAAACCUCCAUUGAGGAUGGAUCUGGAUGCAGCAGCGCAUACGCACAACUCGAAUGGGAACAUAGCAGCGACCACACACGCGCACAGGCUUCCUUCUCACUGAAAUUUCUUCAGUUCCUCGAACAUCAGAGGAAAAACAAAACUCAGGGCCGCAUCCCACUUCAAAUUACAUAGCUCCAUGGAUGGGCUCAAUUUUUUCUCACUAAAUUCCAUAGAAGGCAGACACGUACGAUGAAAGGAUGUAGAAGUACGGAGCACCGGCUGUACGGGUGAGCUUGUAGAUUGAGUGCUUGCUGAAAUUCGUGGAUAGGGGAGACACCUUCUUCGCUCUCGCACGGACUAAUUAGCAAGGAGGCGAGGGAAGGGCCGUUCGC
Molecule: long non-coding RNA, 3334 nt
Filed under: Triticum aestivum (bread wheat)
Lineage: Eukaryota; Viridiplantae; Streptophyta; Magnoliopsida; Poales; Poaceae
Description: long non-coding RNA (TAES_LNC005732)
Source: RNAcentral